Molecule: unclassified non-coding RNA, 599 nt
Filed under: Mucoromycotina sp. 1 KO-2013
Lineage: Eukaryota; Fungi; Mucoromycota
Description: partial contains ITS1, 5.8S rRNA and ITS2
Rfam family: 5.8S ribosomal RNA (bases 206-356)
Source: RNAcentral
AAGGAUCAUUAAAGUAUUUUUGGGUUCUUUUUGAGCCUAACUAUCUGACAUUGUGGUAUUAAUGAAAAAAAAUGAUUGGGUUUAAAGAUGAUGCCUCUGAGUCUUUAGGAGGUAUCGACCCAAACUUUUUAUCAACUCUUUUUUACUAUUUGACUGAAUAUCAAGUAAAUUAAUCCAAUCUUUGGGUUAAAAAAAAGUUUUAAAUAACUUUCAACAACGGAUCUCUUGGUUCUCGCAUCGAUGAAGAACGCAGCGAAAUGCGAUACGUAAUGUGAAUUGCAGAUUGUGAAUCAUCGAAUCUUUGAACGCAUAUUGCACUCUUUGGUAUUCCGAGGAGUAUGCUUGUUUCAGUAUCAUGAAAAUCUCACAAAUGAACCAUUUUUUUUGUUUCAGCUUGUGGACUUGGAUUUGCGAUCGUAAAAGAUUGCUAAUCUGAAAUGAAUUUCAUGAAGCUUAACAUGCUUUGAAUCUUUGCUUAAUAGUUUUGCUUUGUCAAAUCUUUUGCAAUGGAUUUAAAAGCCAAAAAGUGAAUUGAUUUUACGAAAUCGUUUACCUCAUUUUUUGAUCUGAAAUCAAGUAGGAUUACCCGCUGAACUUAC